This 482-nucleotide ribosomal RNA is filed under the name uncultured bacterium. RNAcentral describes it as "partial 16S ribosomal RNA". It matches the Rfam family "Bacterial small subunit ribosomal RNA", at positions 30 to 507 of the family's 1533-position model. The record is from RNAcentral.
UGAACGCUGGCGGCAGGCCUAACACAUGCAAGUCGAGCGGAUGAAGGGAGCUUGCUCCUGGAUUCAGCGGCGGACGGGUGAGUAAUGCCUAGGAAUCUGCCUGGUAGUGGGGGAUAACGUCCGGAAACGGGCGCUAAUACCGCAUACGUCCUGAGGGAGAAAGUGGGGGAUCUUCGGACCUCACGCUAUCAGAUGAGCCUAGGUCGGAUUAGCUAGUUGGUGGGGUAAAGGCCUACCAAGGCGACGAUCCGUAACUGGUCUGAGAGGAUGAUCAGGCACACUGGAACUGAGACACGGUCCAGACUCCUACGGGAGGCAGCAGUGGGGAAUAUUGGACAAUGGGCGAAAGCCUGAUCCAGCCAUGCCGCGUGUGUGAAGAAGGUCUUCGGAUUGUAAAGCACUUUAAGUUGGGAGGAAGGGCAGUAAGUUAAUACCUUGCUGUGUUGACGUUACCAACAGAAUAAGCACCGGCUAACUUCGUG